This is a long non-coding RNA of Trachemys scripta elegans, 564 nucleotides long. RefSeq lists it as uncharacterized. NCBI's taxonomy places the organism in Eukaryota, Metazoa, Chordata, Testudines, Emydidae. The transcript is spliced from 4 exons. The record is from RefSeq and is a predicted model, not a curated record.
UUCUGCAGCGACACUACAUGAGAGGGAGGUUGGCCAGAUCCCUCCACCCUCAUUCUCCAGGGUGGGCGCUGGGGAAGAAAGGAGCCAAGUGCAUCACGGGCUUCCUGGGGCCACAGCCCCCAGUGCAGUUCCUAAUUCUGCUCGCACUCGGGCCUCAGGCUUGGUGGAGCUGGGCACCGGGGAGUUGGUGGCAGCGCUGAGAGGUCCCCACUGCCCUGUCAUGGCGUCUGCUCUCACAGUCCUCCUCCUCACUAAAGAACAGGAGAAGCUGCCUACUUGGACUUUAGUGACCCUGUGCACAUCAUUGUAGCAGAUUUGGCCUGGAGAUUGUGAGAAACCAUCUGAUGAGGAGAAAGGGGCCAAGUGUAUCACGGGCUUCCUGGGGCUUCAGCCCCCAGUGCAGUUCCUCAUUCCGCUCGCACUCGGGCCUCAGACUCGGAGGUGCUCAGCACCGGGGUGUUGGUGGCAGCGCUGAGGGGCCCCCCACUGCCCCUUCAUGGCAUCUGCUCUCACCAUCCUCCUCCUCGGCUGCUGGCUGGCCGGGCACAACAGGGUAUGGGGAGG